This is a long non-coding RNA of Chiroxiphia lanceolata (lance-tailed manakin), 384 nucleotides long. RefSeq lists it as uncharacterized. NCBI's taxonomy places the organism in Eukaryota, Metazoa, Chordata, Aves, Passeriformes, Pipridae. The record is from RefSeq and is a predicted model, not a curated record. The transcript is spliced from 4 exons.
CAAAUACCUCUAAGUCCAUUGAGUCCAACAGUUCCCCCACUAAACCAUGUCCCCAAUUGCUAAGUCUGGAAUGCAGAACCAUCAGCAUUUACAGCCUGGCUGCAGACAGAAGUAGUUGAGGAAGCACCAGACAACGCCAAGGGCAAAGAACAAGGCAUCAGAAGGGCAGGAGCAUUUCUUCCACCAAAAAAAAACCCAGAAAAAGAAAGAGCUCGAGCUCCUGUGAGCAUGAGAAUUUAGGGAAAGAGGGAAGUUCAGAAGGAAAAAGGGACUGACAUGUGAGUCAGGGCAUUUCUAGGCAUCCAAGUGUCCAGCUCCUUUCAUGAUGUGGGAGGUGAAAAACCUGUUGACAGGAGUUGUUUUCAAUUAAAUGUCGUACAUAAG